RNAcentral lists this ribosomal RNA (529 nucleotides) under Agaue sp. KE0807_8Ag. RNAcentral describes it as "eukaryotic LSU rRNA". It matches the Rfam family "Eukaryotic large subunit ribosomal RNA", at positions 1379 to 1863 of the family's 3401-position model. Lineage: Eukaryota; Metazoa; Arthropoda; Arachnida; Trombidiformes; Halacaridae. RNAcentral also lists the same sequence under 2 other names. The record is from RNAcentral.
GAGUAGGAAGGACGCAGCGGUGGCGUAGAAGGUGUCGGAUGUAGAUCCGCCUGGAGCCGCCGCUGAUGCAGAUCUUGGUGGUAGUAGCAAAUACUCAAGUGAGACCCUUGAGGACCAAUGUGGAGAAGGGUUCCAUGUGAACAGCAGUUGAACAUGGGUCAGUCGGUCCUAAGGCAUGCGGAGAAAUCCGUACCAAAGUCCCAGAUGAUCUUCGUUGAACUGACGGGUGCUGAGGUGUAUGCCGAAAGGGAAUUGGGUUAAUAUUCCCAAACCUAGACACGGAGAUAGGUUCUUCGGAACCCAGUGCGGUAACGCAAACGAGCUCGGAGACGUCGGCGGGAGCCCUGGGGAGAGUUGUCUUUUCUUUGUAAGGUUCUGAUUCCCUGGAAGCGGUUUGCCCGGAGAUAGGGAGGAAAGAACCGUAAAGCACUGCGGCUCUUGCAGUGUCCAGAGUGCUUUCGUCGGCCCUUGAAAAUCCGAGUUAGGUAGUGUUAUUUUCGUGCUAGCCCGUACCCAUAUCCGCAGUGGG